RNAcentral lists this ribosomal RNA (761 nucleotides) under uncultured Prevotella sp. RNAcentral describes it as "bacterial SSU rRNA". It matches the Rfam family "Bacterial small subunit ribosomal RNA", at positions 28 to 776 of the family's 1533-position model. The record is from RNAcentral. Lineage: Bacteria; Pseudomonadati; Bacteroidota; Bacteroidia; Bacteroidales; Prevotellaceae.
GAUGAACGCUGGCUACAGGCUUAACACAUGCAAGUCGAGGGGAAACGGCGUUGAGUGCUUGCACUGAAUGGACGUCGACCGGCGCACGGGUGAGUAACGCGUAUCCAACCUUCCCGUUACUGCGGGAUAACCUGCCGAAAGGCAGACUAAUACCGCAUGUUCUUCGAUGACGGCAUCAGAUUCGAAGCAAAGACUCGUCGGUAACGGAGGGGGAUGCGUCUGAUUAGCUUGUUGGCGGGGCGACGGCCCACCAAGGCGACGAUCAGUAGGGGUUCUGAGAGGAAGGUCCCCCACAUUGGAACUGAGACACGGUCCAAACUCCUACGGGAGGCAGCAGUGAGGAAUAUUGGUCAAUGGGCGGAAGCCUGAACCAGCCAAGUAGCGUGCAGGACGACGGCCCUACGGGUUGUAAACUGCUUUUAUGCGGGGAUAAAGUGAGGGACGCGUCCCUUUUUGCAGGUACCGCAUGAAUAAGGACCGGCUAAUUCCGUGCCAGCAGCCGCGGUAAUACGGAAGGUCCGGGCGUUAUCCGGAUUUAUUGGGUUUAAAGGGAGCGUAGGCCGGGGAUUAAGUGUGUUGUGAAAUGUAGGCGCCCAACGUCUGACUUGCAGCGCAUACUGGUUCCCUUGAGUACGCGCAACGCCGGCGGAAUUCGUCGUGUAGCGGUGAAAUGCUUAGAUAUGACGAAGAACCCCGAUUGCGAAGGCAGCCGGCGGGAGCGCAACUGACGCUGAAGCUCGAAGGUGCGGGUAUCGAACAGG